CCUACGGGAGGCAGCAGUGGGGAAUAUUGGACAAUGGGGGCAACCCUGAUCCAGCCAUGCCGCGUGUGUGAAGAAGGCCCUCGGGUUGUAAAGCACUUUCAGUGAGGAAGAACGCCUGGUGGUUAAUACCCAUCAGGAAAGACAUCACUCACAGAAGAAGCACCGGCUAACUCCGUGCCAGCAGCCGCGGUAAUACGGAGGGUGCGAGCGUUAAUCGGAAUUACUGGGCGUAAAGCGCGCGUAGGUGGCUUGAUAAGCCGGUUGUGAAAGCCCCGGGCUCAACCUGGGAACGGCAUCCGGAACUGUCAAGCUAGAGUGCAGGAGAGGAAGGUAGAAUUCCCGGUGUAGCGGUGAAAUGCGUAGAGAUCGGGAGGAAUACCAGUGGCGAAGGUGGCCUUCUGGACUGACACUGACACUGAGGUGCGAAAGCGUGGGUAGCAAACAGGAUUAGAUACCCUUGUAGUC
Molecule: ribosomal RNA, 465 nt
Filed under: Vreelandella stevensii
Lineage: Bacteria; Pseudomonadati; Pseudomonadota; Gammaproteobacteria; Oceanospirillales; Halomonadaceae
Description: partial 16S ribosomal RNA
Rfam family: Bacterial small subunit ribosomal RNA
Source: RNAcentral